CAUGCAAGUCGAACGAGAGAUGAGGAGCUUGCUCUUCAAAUCGAGUGGCGAACGGGUGAGUAACGCGUGAGGAACCUGCCUCAAAGAGGGGGACAACAGUUGGAAACGACUGCUAAUACCGCAUAAGCCCACGGCUCGGCAUCGAGCAGGGGGAAAAGGAGCAAUCCGCUUUGAGAUGGCCUCGCGUCCGAUUAGCUAGUUGGUGAGGUAAUGGCCCACCAAGGCGACGAUCGGUAGCCGGACUGAGAGGUUGAACGGCCACAUUGGGACUGAGACACGGCCCAGACUCCUACGGGAGGCAGCAGUGGGGAAUAUUGCACAAUGGGGGAAACCCUGAUGCAGCGACGCCGCGUGGAGGAAGAAGGUCUUCGGAUUGUAAACUCCUGUUGUUGAGGAAGAUAAUGACGGUACUCAACAAGGAAGUGACGGCUAACUACGUGCCAGCAGCCGCGGUAAAACGUAGGUCACAAGCGUUGUCCGGAAUUACUGGGUGUAAAGGGAGCGCAGGCGGGAGAACAAGUUGGAAGUGAAAUCCAUGGGCUCA
Molecule: ribosomal RNA, 544 nt
Filed under: uncultured bacterium
Lineage: Bacteria
Description: bacterial SSU rRNA
Rfam family: Bacterial small subunit ribosomal RNA
Source: RNAcentral